Molecule: long non-coding RNA, 1149 nt
Organism: Stegostoma tigrinum
Lineage: Eukaryota; Metazoa; Chordata; Chondrichthyes; Orectolobiformes; Stegostomatidae
Exons: 3
Source: RefSeq, a predicted model, not a curated record
CACGCUCCCCCCCCCCAACUGUCUCCCCUCGAGCAGCUUUUCUCCCUGAGGAGGUGGGUGGACGACCCCGGAUCCGGGCCUAGAGUCUAGGCCUCAGCAGCCUGGGCCCGGCUCUCAGUGCUGACACUGAUGGUGGUCUCUCUGCGUCUCCUGGAGCAGGCAGCGACGGCUCAUUCUACCCUGUUCCAGAAGCUUCUCUUCGCUCGGGCCUCGGGCAGAAAGGCCCCUUUCGCCUCCCGUCAGUCUGGGGCCUCUGGGUCACUUCUCCUCGAAGGUGACGGUCUUUGACAGCAAAGGAGCGACGCUUUGUUUGCUCGGUGACCGAAUGUUCCGGAAGAGUUGGUGCUCCGUCUGCAGUGAGAGCCUGUGGAGUGUGUGUUUGGGGUAACGGGAAUCUCCACCUCCUGUUGGUCUCUCCUCCCGUCUUCGGCUGGCGGCCAGACACAAACAAUCCCAGAGAACAUUUUGUUCACAACCCUGCGCCUGCCACUCAACACCCGCGAACCAAUGGGCCUCCCGCGGGACCGAGCUGUGAAACUGCCCCACGGUGACCGGCAUUAACCCUUCGCUGGCAUAUACACAGACCCCAAACUGACCUGUCCGAACCGCUGCACGCAGGGUGCUGCUGCCGUUUGCUGCUCAGCUCUAAUUGCCCCUCAAACUGAGAGGCUUGCUUGGUUGGUUCACAGUCAACCACAUUGCUGUGGGUCUGGAGUCACAUGUAGGCCAGUUCAGGCCAGGAACCAAGUGAGGUUGAAGGAGGGAAUGUGUCAGUCCCUGAAAGGAGGGAGCAGUACAGACUGUGCGGGAAUCUUGGGCUCCUCGGCUACAGGCCAUUCCUGAGAAAAUGGCAAACCCAAGUUCUGGAAUACCUUGCUCCGAAGGAACCUGCCCUGCAGGCUAACUGCCUGGUGAAGAUUUUAACUGAAAGAGCCACACACUGGGAGCUGGGGGCUGCUCAAGGAGCUGGGACUUGGCUGAACAAUGAAUCCUUUGUCAACACAUUGGGCGAUGAAAGGGAACCUAUGAAAUCCUGAACAAUCUUCUGUGUUCGCAGGAAGACAAUGAGAUGAAACAGCCCAAACACUAUUAACCAGGAUUCGAUUUCACACUGUUCCUUUUAUCCAGGAGAUAUUUAGAACAAAUGUU